UUUGGAUCAAACACGGCCUGGCUCUCGUUCUUCAAGCGUUCAUCUCCAGAAUUUGCAGAAAAUGAAGAACAACAAAUUCUCACCAAAUUCAACAAACUUAUAAUCAUUAGAACCGUCUUCCAACAAGGAUUAAGGAUAUGUAAACGAUUUCUCCUAAUUCUCAACAUAGCAACGGGAUCGAUCCAAAAAAGAAAUGCAUAUCAAACUUCAAAUUCA
This 216-nucleotide long non-coding RNA is filed under the name Lathyrus oleraceus (garden pea). RNAcentral's name for it is "Pisum sativum (pea) long non-coding RNA (PSAT_LNC038106)". Lineage: Eukaryota; Viridiplantae; Streptophyta; Magnoliopsida; Fabales; Fabaceae. The record is from RNAcentral.